AUGGAAGAGAAAGGGAGGUUUGGCGGGUUCAUGGUGACACUUCUGAAAUGGUAUCUGGAAAGUGCUAAAAAUGUGACGCCUCCAGGAAAUUGUUCUGAAACUGGAAACCAGCAGGAAAUUGACCUGAAUAGACCACAGGCAACAUUCAGAGCAUUGUUUAAAACAUAUUCCUUUAUAAGAGCCGUAACAUUUUUUUCAUAAGUGCAACAGCACUCAUAUUCAAAGUUCUGAACCCAGUACAUAUAAGUUGACCUGUAGUGCAAUAUCAUCAUAAGUUAUAGCACAGGGAGGCUUACAUUUUUUAUGGGAUUAGGAGUUUAUCUUCACAGCCUGUGUAGGAUCAUUGCUGCAUAUCACGACCACCAUUAAAAGCUUGCAAAGUUUCCGUGAGGACAAAUUUUUACUAUUAUGAAGUCACCUAAAGAUGUUUUGGAGGAAACUACUGUUUAGUUGAUUAUUUCAUAUUUUACUGAACUUUUUUCCAUUGAUUAUAAUUUUUUUUCAAACAGACGCCAUCAGCACUGCUCCUAAGUACGAUGGUCUCCUGUAGAGAUGCUCAAACUACUGUUUGGAGUUUGAAAUACUCUCACAUAAAUAAGUAAAAAAAAAUGAUAUUAAUCAAGCUCUGUAGAAAAUCUAACACAUGACCCUCAUUUUAUUUGAUUCUAAAGUGAAAUUCGUUCAGCUCUUUUGUAACCUUCCUUUUUGAAGCCUUAUGUUUUACAGUCAGUUGAACUCACAAGCUGAGCUUGCCCUUUCUGUAUCAUCUUCCGGUCGCCAUUCUCCAGAUGGAAUUUUCUCUUCCAUCUUUUACGCGGCACACCAUAAUCACAUGUUCUGCUCUUUUAUAUAGCUUUACUUUGCAACUGCAAUCUGGCGCCUGCUUUGCUUCUCUUUACAACACCUAAGGGUGCACAUGACUUUGAGAAAUAACUUCCAAUGAACUGCCAUCCUAAGAUACUACAUAAACGAAAGGAAAUACACAUGUAUCAAGGACAGGAAGGAAAUCAUAUAUCUACCUCAAGUUUAGGGAGAGGCAUGUUUUAUAUAACUUUUUCCACAUCCUUAUAAUUAUUUCUACAUUCUGGAAAUGUAUAUGCUCACUAUGUGCAAGACAUACACAGGACAUGAAAAUCAGAAACUUUCCUCUAGCUCUUUAUGCAUCUGGCUGAAAUAAUAAAUAAAAAAGUGACUUUAAAUAGCCUAUGUUUUUUGACUCUACCCAAGAUAUCAAUCAGGUUUAGUAGUACAUAUGACAGUAUUUUAAAAAUUAGUCUCUAAGUAAUUUCAGGGUUUUUAAACUUAAUAUCAUUUUUCAAAUUGCAUAUUGUAAAACUUACAAAGUAAAGUGUAGAGAAAAAAUAAAAAUCGUGUAAUCUCAAACCACUUUAACUGUUAUUUUUAUGUGUUACUGGAGGUAUGCAUACAUUUAAUAAAAUUGUGAAAGCAUUGUACGCAUGGUUUUGCUUUCCAUUACAGUGUGUCAUCAAUCAGUUCUUUCCUAUGUCAUAAAAUAGUCGUCCAUAAUUUUCAGGUUGUUUUCAAUUUUUCGCUACUAUUAGUAGUGUUGUGUUAAAUAUCCUGUGCUUAAAAAAAAUUCUCUGCUUAAAUAUCUCUUUAGAUCUGUUUCCUUAAGUCCGUUGACAAAAUAUAAAGUUAAAAAUAUCUUUGUUAUCAAAUCCAUCAAUUUUUCUAUUCUAAGUAUGCUUUUUUUUUUUUUACUGCAUUGUCAUAAAAAGUACAAUGACAUGGAGAAAGUACAAGAUGGUUGAUGUCUACCGAAAGCUCUUCUCUUGUGAGUAAUGUUAUGUCCAGUUCAACAACUUGUUAACUAAUUGAAACUAGAUGUACUGGGAAUUCGACAAAGUAUUCUGAAAUAGUAGCAGAUGGCCAUCAAAGUACCUUUUAAUAAAAGAGGGUUCUAUGGGUGACAGAAAUUUGAGGAUUUCUGAAUACCUGGGUAGGUAGGGACACUAACUCAGAAUACGGAGUAAUUAAUUGCUCUGCAGCAUAUAAGAGUCACUGAAUCGUGUGGUCCAAUGGAGAGGAAAAAUAAAAGAAGCUAAAGAUGCUACAAGGAAGAAGUAACUGCUAUAAGUAGUACCAUAGACAGGGUGGGUGCCGUUGUGAAGAUUAGGGGAGAGAGGUUAAGGAAAAAAUAAGAUGUGAAAAGUUGAUAUGUUCCCAAGAAAGAAACAGAAAUGCCCCUUUGAAACACAGUAGGCAUCUUGGGAAAUAGGAGACAAACGCUCUGAUGGGGGUGGUCAGUAGAAGAACUCUGGGCUAGUUUACUUCCUCUUAAGGUAGGUCUCCUUCUGAGAGGAGGAGUCCUAGCUACCCAGAAGAACCUUAUCUAAAUAAUUAAUUUGUAAUGAUAGGAUCUAAGGAGAAAUCCUGAGAAGAGAAAAAAAUAUGUGAAAUGAUACAACUCCCCAUACACAUAGAUAUAUAUUUUCCUUUGUUUAUAGAGUAGUCAUCAAAAAGUUGUUAUAAAGAAGAGAAAAUAUAAAUCAGAGUUAAUAAAUGCAAUUCAAUUGCAGCUGUAAAAGAAGAAUGCAAAAGUAAAUAUAAUAAUUUAAGUGAAGAGAUGGCCAGACAUCCUUGAUGUGAUGACUUGACUGUAAGACAAGGUAAAUCAGGAACAGAUAAGACAUAUAGAUCUAAAAGGAAAAAAAAUUCCUCUUAAAUAUAAAAAAAAAAACAAACGGAAUUCUUUUCUGGUUCAGCAGUUAAUGAACAUGAC
RNAcentral lists this long non-coding RNA (2743 nucleotides) under Sus scrofa (pig). RNAcentral describes it as "lncRNA (ENSSSCG00060046218.1)". Lineage: Eukaryota; Metazoa; Chordata; Mammalia; Artiodactyla; Suidae. The record is from RNAcentral.